GGGGUUGUAGCUCAGUGGUAGAGCGCUUGCCUAGCACAUGCAAGCCACUGGGUUCGAUCCUCAGCACCACA
This 71-nucleotide transfer RNA is filed under the name Marmota monax (woodchuck). RNAcentral describes it as "tRNA.Ala". It matches the Rfam family "tRNA". Rfam says of the family: Transfer RNA (tRNA) molecules are approximately 80 nucleotides in length. Their secondary structure includes four short double-helical elements and three loops (D, anti-codon, and T loops). The record is from RNAcentral. Lineage: Eukaryota; Metazoa; Chordata; Mammalia; Rodentia; Sciuridae.